UUUUUUUUUUGAGAGAUAGGUAGCACGCUACUCGCUUCGUUUAUUUCAUUUAGAGAUAAACUUAGCUAGAAAUGUGAAUCAACUAGGAUUCAAACUUAGGUCUUGGGUACCAACCACCAAGCCCUUUGCCUCUUGCUCUAGGGACAAUCGGUUAAAAAAAUUUAUAUUUACAUUAUUAGUGUGCAUUUUAAAGUUUAUAUUUCAUUUAAAAAAAUUUAUAUUUAUAUUAUUAGUGUG
Molecule: long non-coding RNA, 237 nt
Filed under: Ananas comosus (pineapple)
Lineage: Eukaryota; Viridiplantae; Streptophyta; Magnoliopsida; Poales; Bromeliaceae
Description: long non-coding RNA (ACOM_LNC002636)
Source: RNAcentral